UACGUAGGGUGCGAGCGUUGUCCGGAAUUAUUGGGCGUAAAGAGCUCGUAGGCGGUCUGUCGCGUCGAAUGUGAAAACCCGGGGCUCAACCCCGGGCCUGCAUUCGAUACGGGCAGACUAGAGUUCGGUAGGGGAGUCUGGAAUUCCCGGUGUAGCGGUGAAAUGCGCAGAUAUCAGGAGGAACACCGGUGGCGAAGGCGGGACUCUGGGCCGAUACUGACGCUGAGGAGCGAAAGCGUGGGGAGCGAACAGG
Molecule: ribosomal RNA, 253 nt
Filed under: uncultured bacterium
Lineage: Bacteria
Description: partial 16S ribosomal RNA
Rfam family: Bacterial small subunit ribosomal RNA
Source: RNAcentral